RNAcentral lists this ribosomal RNA (253 nucleotides) under uncultured bacterium. RNAcentral's name for it is "partial 16S ribosomal RNA". It matches the Rfam family "Bacterial small subunit ribosomal RNA", at positions 524 to 776 of the family's 1533-position model. The record is from RNAcentral.
UACAGAGGAUGCAAGCGUUAUCCGGAAUGAUUGGGCGUAAAGCGUCUGUAGGUGGUUUCAUAAGUCUACUGUCAAAGAUCAGGGCUUAACCCUGAGCAGGCAGUAGAAACUAAGAAGCUUGAGUACGGUAGGGGCAGAGGGAAUUCCCGGUGUAGCGGUGAAAUGCGUAGAUAUCGGGAAGAACACCAAUGGCGAAAGCACUCUGCUGGGCCGAAACUGACACUGAGACGCGAAAGCGUGGGGAGCGAACAGG